Long non-coding RNA from Sphaeramia orbicularis (orbiculate cardinalfish), 371 nucleotides. RefSeq lists it as uncharacterized. The record is from RefSeq and is a predicted model, not a curated record. NCBI's taxonomy places the organism in Eukaryota, Metazoa, Chordata, Actinopteri, Kurtiformes, Apogonidae. The transcript has 2 exons.
UUUUUUUUUACUGUGAUCAGCAGUUGAGUCAGACAAACAGGAUCCAAAUGAUCACAUCAGCUGAGAACUAGAGGUGAAAGAGGUUAAAGCCACAAUAAAAACAUUUGUUGAAAGUUUCCAUCAUCCCUCAAAAACCUACCAUGAAAUGACAUUAUGCAUUCCAGAAAUUAAUCUUUGACUACAAUAAACAUAUAAUUGUUGAAUGUACAUGUAAGUCAAGCAAUUAAUACAUAACUUCUAAAUCUACAUAACUGAACAUCAGACUCAAUGUAAUGAAUCAGUAAAUGUGGAACUGAACACAGGACAAAAAAACAGCUUUUCGUCUGCUACUGAAGGAAAAAACUUUAUAACUCGACUAAAUCAGGCUGAAU